AUGGAAGCUCCAGAUCGAGAUUGGCCCGAGCUACCAAUCGACAUAUUGUGCGACGUGCUCAAGUUGCUCGAGUGCCCAGACCUCCUCCGAUCCGCCGCUGUCUGCUCAAUCUGGUACAAGGCCUACUCCGCGCAACGCUGCAUCAGUUCUUGUCCUGGACACCAAACACCAUGUCUACUCUAUUGCACUGAGGCCGCCGGCGGGCUCAGAGCUCUCGGCAUGUACAGCCUCUCCGAGCGGAAGGCCUACACCAUGCCGCUCCCUGAACUUCCGAUCAAGAACUGGAUCGGCUCAUCGCACGGAUGGCUAGUCACUAUGGAUGACAAGUCUGAGCUGAUGCUGCUCAACCCGAUCACCAGCAACACUAUUGUACUCCCUCCGGUGACAACCAUGGAACAUGUUAAACCUGUCCUAAACGGCGACGAAGUUCUUGAAAAGUAUGAGGUGUUUUACUAUGAUGGAGAGCUUCCGAGGGUCGUGGAGAAGGACACCAGUGGAUGCAUCGUCAUGCUCAUCCACCAGCCGUACGGCCAGCUCUCGUUUGCCAAGGUAGGAGAUGAUCGCUGGAAUUGGCUCACCGUAUGUAGCUACUACACAGAUUGUGUACACCACGACGGGUGGUUCUAUGCAGUUACUGAAGAUGGCGCGAUCGAUGCGUACAAUUUACAUGAACCGUCUGUCAUCCACAAAAGGUUCUUACCCAAAAUAAUCCAGAGGGUUUCGAAAUGUCACGUUGUUCAGGCACAAUGGGGAGAUGUCCUCCAAAUCAUCAGGAGGCAGAUUCUUAAUCCUGAUCGUGAACAACCGGGCAGUCGGAAGUGGAUCACUGAAAUUGAAGUGUACAGGGUUGAUUUUGAUGAGCAGAAGUGUGUCAACAUCACCGGGAUAGGGGACUAUGCAUUGUUCAUUGGGAGCAGCACAACGUCUUGUUUAAGCGUGAAGGACUAUCCAGACUUGAUUCCAAACCAUGUCUAUUUUACUGACGACGACGAGGCAGCACACAUUUUCCGGAAAGAUGACCCUCCUGAGGUUGGAAUUUACGACAUUAAAAGUAAUACAACGGUGAAUGUGGUUCAUCCUGAACUUUGGAUGAAUUGGUUGCCUCCAAUAUGGUUGACGCCGAGUCUUGCAAAAACGGGUACGGUUCUACUUGUCCCUUGA
Molecule: ribosomal RNA, 1161 nt
Filed under: Triticum aestivum (bread wheat)
Lineage: Eukaryota; Viridiplantae; Streptophyta; Magnoliopsida; Poales; Poaceae
Description: partial small subunit ribosomal RNA
Source: RNAcentral